UACAGAGACUGCAAGCGUUAUUCGGAUUCACUGGGCGUAAAGGGUGCGCGGGCGGCCGUGUGUGUCAGGUGUGAAAGCCCGGGGCUUAACCCCGGAAUUGCGCCUGAAACUACAUGGCUAGAGCAUUGGAGAGGGUAGCGGAAUUCACGGUGUAGCAGUGAAAUGCGCAGAUAUCGUGAGGAACACCAGAGGCGAAGGCGGCUACCUGGACAAUUGCUGACGCUCAGGCACGAAAGCGUGGGGAGCAAAAGGG
RNAcentral lists this ribosomal RNA (253 nucleotides) under uncultured bacterium. RNAcentral describes it as "partial 16S ribosomal RNA". It matches the Rfam family "Bacterial small subunit ribosomal RNA", at positions 524 to 776 of the family's 1533-position model. The record is from RNAcentral.